UACGGAGGGAGCUAGCGUUGUUCGGAAUUACUGGGCGUAAAGCGCACGUAGGCGGCUACUCAAGUCAGAGGUGAAAGCCCGGGCUCAACCCCGGAACUGCCUUUGAAACUAGGUGGCUAGAAUCCUGGAGAGGUCAGUGGAAUUCCGAGUGUAGAGGUGAAAUUCGUAGAUAUUCGGAAGAACACCAGUGGCGAAGGCGACUGACUGGACAGGUAUUGACGCUGAGGUGCGAAAGCGUGGGGAGCAAACAGGG
RNAcentral lists this ribosomal RNA (253 nucleotides) under uncultured bacterium. RNAcentral's name for it is "partial 16S ribosomal RNA". It matches the Rfam family "Bacterial small subunit ribosomal RNA", at positions 524 to 777 of the family's 1533-position model. The record is from RNAcentral.